UACGUAGGGGGCAAGCGUUGUCCGGAUUUAUUGGGCGUAAAGAGCGUGUAGGCGGCUGGGUAGGUCCGUUGUGAAAACUCGAGGCUCAACCUCGAGACGCCGAUGGAAACCAUCCAGCUAGAGUCCGGAAGAGGAGAGUGGAAUUCCUGGUGUAGCGGUGAAAUGCGCAGAUAUCAGGAAGAACACCCGUGGCUAAGGCGGCUCUCUAGUACGGUACUGACGCUGAGACGCGAAAGCGUGGGGAGCGAACAGG
This 253-nucleotide ribosomal RNA is filed under the name uncultured bacterium. Its description in RNAcentral is "partial 16S ribosomal RNA". It matches the Rfam family "Bacterial small subunit ribosomal RNA", at positions 524 to 776 of the family's 1533-position model. The record is from RNAcentral.